Molecule: ribosomal RNA, 468 nt
Filed under: uncultured bacterium
Lineage: Bacteria
Description: partial 16S ribosomal RNA
Rfam family: Bacterial small subunit ribosomal RNA
Source: RNAcentral
GACGAACGCUGGCGGCGUGCUUAACACAUGCAAGUCGAACGGAAAGGCCCUGCUUUUGUGGGGUGCUCGAGUGGCGAACGGGUGAGUAACACGUGAGUAACCUGCCCUUGACUUUGGGAUAACUUCAGGAAACUGGGGCUAAUACCGGAUAGGAGCUCCUGCUGCAUGGUGGGGGUUGGAAAGUUUCGGCAGUUGGGGAUGGACUCGCGGCUUAUCAGCUUGUUGGUGGGGUAGUGGCUUACCAAGGCUUUGACGGGUAGCCGGCCUGAGAGGGUGACCGGCCACAUUGGGACUGAGAUACGGCCCAGACUCCUACGGGAGGCAGCAGUGGGGAAUAUUGCACAAUGGGCGGAAGCCUGAUGCAGCAACGCCGCGUGCGGGAUGACGGCCUUCGGGUUGUAAACCGCUUUCGCCUGUGACGAAGCGUGAGUGACGGUAAUGGGUAAAGAAGCACAGGCUAACUACGUG